RNAcentral lists this ribosomal RNA (275 nucleotides) under Escherichia coli. RNAcentral describes it as "partial 23S ribosomal RNA". It matches the Rfam family "Bacterial large subunit ribosomal RNA", at positions 1273 to 1551 of the family's 2925-position model. The record is from RNAcentral. Lineage: Bacteria; Pseudomonadati; Pseudomonadota; Gammaproteobacteria; Enterobacterales; Enterobacteriaceae.
CUGGAGGUAUCAGAAGUGCGAAUGCUGACAUAAGUAACGAUAAAGCGGGUGAAAAGCCCGCUCGCCGGAAGACCAAGGGUUCCUGUCCAACGUUAAUCGGGGCAGGGUGAGUCGACCCCUAAGGCGAGGCCGAAAGGCGUAGUCGAUGGGAAACAGGUUAAUAUUCCUGUACUUGGUGUUACUGCGAAGGGGGGACGGAGAAGGCUAUGUUGGCCGGGCGACGGUUGUCCCGGUUUAAGCGUGUAGGCUGGUUUUCCAGGCAAAUCCGGAAAAUC